UACAGAGGGUGCGAGCGUUAAUCGGAAUUACUGGGCGUAAAGCGCACGUAGGUGGCGACGUAAGUCGGGUGUGAAAGCCCCGGGCUUAACCUGGGAAUUGCAUUCGAGACUGUGUCGCUGGAGUACGGAAGAGGAAGGCGGAAUUCCCGGUGUAGCGGUGAAAUGCGUAGAUAUCGGGAGGAAUACCGAUGGCGAAGGCAGGUCUCUGGGCUGACACUGACGCUCAUGCACGAAAGCGUGGGGAGCAAACAGG
This 253-nucleotide ribosomal RNA is filed under the name uncultured bacterium. RNAcentral's name for it is "partial 16S ribosomal RNA". It matches the Rfam family "Bacterial small subunit ribosomal RNA", at positions 524 to 776 of the family's 1533-position model. The record is from RNAcentral.